Molecule: transfer RNA, 75 nt
Filed under: Candidatus Diapherotrites archaeon CG11_big_fil_rev_8_21_14_0_20_37_9
Lineage: Archaea; Nanobdellati; Candidatus Iainarchaeota
Description: tRNA-Ile
Rfam family: tRNA
About the family: Transfer RNA (tRNA) molecules are approximately 80 nucleotides in length. Their secondary structure includes four short double-helical elements and three loops (D, anti-codon, and T loops).
Source: RNAcentral
GGGCGUGUAGCUUAGUCUGGUUGGAGCACUCGACUGAUAAUCGAGCGGUCGGCAGUUCAAAUCUGCCCAUGCCCA